GACGAACGCUGGCGGCGUGCCUAAUACAUGCAAGUAGAACGCACAGUUUAUACCGUAGCUUGCUACACCAUAGACUGUGAGUUGCGAACGGGUGAGUAACGCGUAGGUAACCUGCCUGGUAGCGGGGGAUAACUAUUGGAAACGAUAGCUAAUACCGCAUAAUAUUAAUUAUUGCAUGAUAAUUAAUUGAAAGGUGCAAUUGCACCACUACCAGAUGGACCUGCGUUGUAUUAGCUAGUAGGUGAGGUAACGGCUCACCUAGGCGACGAUACAUAGCCGACCUGAGAGGGUGAUCGGCCACACUGGGACUGGGACACGGCCCAGACUCCUACGGGAGGCAGCAGUAGGGAAUCUUCGGCAAUGGACGAAAGUCUGACCGAGCAACGCCGCGUGAGUGAAGAAGGUUUUCGGAUCGUAAAGCUCUGUUGUAAGAGAAGAACGGGUGUGAGAGUGGAAAGUUCACACUGUGACGGUAUCUUACCAGAAAGGGACGGCUAACCACGUG
This 505-nucleotide ribosomal RNA is filed under the name uncultured bacterium. Its description in RNAcentral is "partial 16S ribosomal RNA". It matches the Rfam family "Bacterial small subunit ribosomal RNA", at positions 28 to 507 of the family's 1533-position model. The record is from RNAcentral.